CCUACGGGUGGCAGCAGUGGGGAAUAUUGGGCAAUGGACGCAAGUCUGACCCAGCAACGCCGCGUGAAGGAAGAAGGCUUUCGGGUUGUAAACUUCUUUUAAGGGGGAAGAGCAGAAGACGGUACCCCUUGAAUAAGCCACGGCUAACUACGUGCCAGCAGCCGCGGUAAUACGUAGGUGGCAAGCGUUGUCCGGAUUUACUGGGUGUAAAGGGCGUGCAGCCGGAGAGACAAGUCAGAUGUGAAAUCCACGGGCUCAACCCGUGAACUGCAUUUGAAGCUGUUUCCCUUGAGUGUCGGAGAGGUAAUCGGAAUUCCUUGUGUAGCGGUGAAAUGCGUAGAUAUAAGGAAGAACACCAGUGGCGAAGGCGGAUUACUGGACGAUAACUGACGGUGAGGCGCGAAAGCGUGGGGAGCAAACAGGAUUAGAUACCCUUGUAGUC
This 442-nucleotide ribosomal RNA is filed under the name uncultured Oscillibacter sp. RNAcentral describes it as "bacterial SSU rRNA". It matches the Rfam family "Bacterial small subunit ribosomal RNA", at positions 338 to 795 of the family's 1533-position model. The record is from RNAcentral. Lineage: Bacteria; Bacillati; Bacillota; Clostridia; Eubacteriales; Oscillospiraceae.